RNAcentral lists this ribosomal RNA (514 nucleotides) under uncultured bacterium. RNAcentral describes it as "bacterial SSU rRNA". It matches the Rfam family "Bacterial small subunit ribosomal RNA", at positions 34 to 518 of the family's 1533-position model. The record is from RNAcentral.
CGCUGGCGGCGUGCCUAAUACAUGCAAGUCGAACGGUCUUUCUAUGGAAGCUUGCUUCCAACUGAAAAGAUAGUGGCGAACGGGUGAGUAACACGUGGGUAACCUGCCCAUAAGAGGGGGGAUAACAUCCGGAAACGGGUGCUAAUACCGCAUAGUUUUCUUGAUCGCAUGAUCGGGAAAGGAAAGACGGCCUUUGUGCUGUCGCUUAUGGAUGGACCCGCGGCGUAUUAGUUAGUUGGUGAGGUAACGGCUCACCAAGACGAUGAUACGUAGCCGACCUGAGAGGGUGAUCGGCCACAUUGGGACUGAGACACGGCCCAAACUCCUACGGGAGGCAGCAGUAGGGAAUCUUCCGCAAUGGACGAAAGUCUGACGGAGCAACGCCGCGUGAGUGAAGAAAAGGUUUUCGGAUCGUAAAACUCUGUUGUCAGAGAAGAACAAGUUGGAGAGUAACUGCUCCAGCCUUGACGGUAUCUGACCAGAAAGCCACGGCUAACUACGUGCCAGCAGCCGC